GGAGGAGUCGCCUAGUGGUAUGGCACGCGCUUGGAAAGCGCGCGUUCGCAAGGACUCGCGAGUUCGAAUCUCGCCUCCUCCGCCA
Molecule: transfer RNA, 85 nt
Filed under: Candidatus Shapirobacteria bacterium
Lineage: Bacteria; Candidatus Shapironibacteriota
Also listed under: 1 other name
Description: tRNA-Ser
Rfam family: tRNA
About the family: Transfer RNA (tRNA) molecules are approximately 80 nucleotides in length. Their secondary structure includes four short double-helical elements and three loops (D, anti-codon, and T loops).
Source: RNAcentral